GGAAUCAACGCUGGCGGCGUGCCUAACACAUGCAAGUCGAACGAGAAAGUGGAGCAAUCCAUGAGUAAAGUGGCGCACGGGUGAGUAACACGUGACUAACCUACCCUUGAGUGGGGGAUAACCUAGGGAAACCUGGGCUAAUACCGCAUAAUACCUUCGGGUCAAAGGAGCAAUUCGCUUAAGGAGGGGGUCGCGGCCGAUUAGUUAGUUGGCGGGGUAAUGGCCCACCAAGACUGUGAUCGGUAUCC
Molecule: ribosomal RNA, 248 nt
Filed under: uncultured bacterium
Lineage: Bacteria
Description: partial small subunit ribosomal RNA
Rfam family: Bacterial small subunit ribosomal RNA
Source: RNAcentral